AGCGCAGGCGGUUUUUUAAGUCUGAUGUGAAAGCCUUCGGCUCAACCGAAGAAGUGCAUCGGAAACUGGGAAACUUGAGUGCAGAGGAGGACAGUGGAACUCCAUGUGUAGCGGUGAAAUGCGUAGAUAUAUGGAAGAACACCAGUGGCGAAGGCGGCUGCCUGGUCUGUAACUGACGCUGAGGACUCAAGGUAUGGUAGCAAACA
Molecule: ribosomal RNA, 206 nt
Filed under: uncultured bacterium
Lineage: Bacteria
Description: partial 16S ribosomal RNA
Rfam family: Bacterial small subunit ribosomal RNA
Source: RNAcentral